Molecule: transfer RNA, 87 nt
Filed under: Rhodocollybia butyracea
Lineage: Eukaryota; Fungi; Basidiomycota; Agaricomycetes; Agaricales; Omphalotaceae
Description: tRNA-OTHER
Rfam family: tRNA
About the family: Transfer RNA (tRNA) molecules are approximately 80 nucleotides in length. Their secondary structure includes four short double-helical elements and three loops (D, anti-codon, and T loops).
Source: RNAcentral
GCCCAGAUGGCUGAGUGGUUAGGCGGUUCAUGGCGGUUCAUGCAAAUGGGUUGUGGACUGACAUGGGUUCAACUCCCAGUUUGGGUG